Molecule: non-coding RNA, 405 nt
Organism: Dromiciops gliroides (monito del monte)
Lineage: Eukaryota; Metazoa; Chordata; Mammalia; Microbiotheria; Microbiotheriidae
Source: the annotation of a RefSeq genome assembly
AUGGGUCUUUCCAUGUAUACAUUGGAGGAGGCAGAAGGUAAGGGAAGCAUUGUUAAAGGGGAUGUGGACUUGAUGACCAGUUUCCAGUGUCUGAAAUUGUCUUUUUGCACAGGGGUGAGCUGCCAACAGAGGGUGGAACAGAAUCCGCAGGUUUUGAGUGUCCAGGAGGGAGAGAAUAUCACUAUCAACUGCACAUAUUCAGACUCAAGUUCUCGAGGCAUACAGUGGUUCAGGCAGGAUCCUGGGAAAGGCCUCACCUUACUAUUUUACCUGGCCUCAGAGACAAAAGAGGCAGGAAGAUUCAAAUCCAUGAUCAGAAGACAGGAUCGUCACAUCUCUCUGUACAUCACUGCCUCCCAGUCUGGAGACUCAGCCACCUACCUGUGUGCUGUGGAGGCACAGUGA